CCAACACUGGGACUGAGACACUGCCCAGACUUCUACGGAAGGCUGCAGUCGAGAAUCUUUCGCAAUGGACGAAAGUCUGACGAAGCGACGCCGCGUGUGUGAUGAAGGCUCUAGGGUUGUAAAGCCUUUCGCUUGGGAAUAAGAAAGAUUGGCUAAUAUCCAUCGAUUUGAGCGUACCAGGUAAAGAAGCACCGGCUAACU
Molecule: ribosomal RNA, 201 nt
Filed under: uncultured Chlamydiales bacterium
Lineage: Bacteria; Pseudomonadati; Chlamydiota; Chlamydiia; Chlamydiales
Description: partial 16S ribosomal RNA
Rfam family: Bacterial small subunit ribosomal RNA
Source: RNAcentral